Molecule: ribosomal RNA, 270 nt
Filed under: uncultured bacterium
Lineage: Bacteria
Description: partial 16S ribosomal RNA
Rfam family: Bacterial small subunit ribosomal RNA
Source: RNAcentral
AUUGAACGCUGGCGGCACGCUUAACACAUGCAAGUCGAGCGGUAACAUGCUUAGUAGCAAUACUAAGUGAUGACGAGCGGCGGACGGGUGAGGAACACGUAGGAAUCUGCCUCUAAGCGGGGGACAACCAAGGGAAACUUUGGCUAAUACCGCAUAACAUCGAGAGAUCAAAGCUGCCGCAAGGUAGCACUUAGAGAGGAGCCUGCGUCCGAUUAGCUAGUUGGUAGGGUAAAAGCCUACCAAGGCGAUGAUCGGUAACUGGUCUGAGAG